This 319-nucleotide ribosomal RNA is filed under the name Bacillus paralicheniformis. RNAcentral describes it as "bacterial LSU rRNA". It matches the Rfam family "Bacterial large subunit ribosomal RNA", at positions 2309 to 2627 of the family's 2925-position model. Lineage: Bacteria; Bacillati; Bacillota; Bacilli; Caryophanales; Bacillaceae. The record is from RNAcentral.
CCCAAAGGUUCCCUCAGAAUGGUUGGAAAUCAUUCGCAGAGUGUAAAGGCACAAGGGAGCUUGACUGCGAGACCUACAAGUCGAGCAGGGACGAAAGUCGGGCUUAGUGAUCCGGUGGUUCCGCAUGGAAGGGCCAUCGCUCAACGGAUAAAAGCUACCCCGGGGAUAACAGGCUUAUCUCCCCCAAGAGUCCACAUCGACGGGGAGGUUUGGCACCUCGAUGUCGGCUCAUCGCAUCCUGGGGCUGUAGUCGGUCCCAAGGGUUGGGCUGUUCGCCCAUUAAAGCGGUACGCGAGCUGGGUUCAGAACGUCGUGAGAC